This 1121-nucleotide long non-coding RNA is filed under the name Apteryx rowi (Okarito brown kiwi). RNAcentral's name for it is "lncRNA (ENSARWG00000001298.1)". The record is from RNAcentral. Lineage: Eukaryota; Metazoa; Chordata; Aves; Apterygiformes; Apterygidae.
GAAAGGCAGGGCUGAGGCGCUCUCCCAGCCCGCGGUCUGCAAGCCUGGGCUCAGCUGAAAACUGCUUUGCCCUGGCCCAGCUGGGGCACAAGAGGACCCAAAGGCUCCAGUAACCCUGGUGGGGCCCCCUGGGCAGCAGACAUGGCAUUAACGUGUCCUGCUCGCUGGUCACCCCGGAGGGGAGAGAGGGUUUCACCAGAGGUGCCAGGCUGGUGCCUAAUCCCACUUAAUCCCCCUCCUGGCUCUUCCUGCGUCUCUGGCGGGAGUGCCUGAAGCAGGUCCCAGCGYCCUGGCUUGCACAUGGGGCCGGUGCAGAGGUCGGGUGAGUGGCAGAGCCACCCCGUGGUACCCACACUGCUGUGCCCACGCGCACCCUGCUCCCGGCUGCAUCCCCCCAGCCUGGCCUUCCUUGCCCCCAGCCCCGGGCCACCAGUCAUGGCCUGGCCGAGGCUCACGGGGGCUGCGGUGGCAGGYGAUGCCAAGGGCCCUGAUCCCCCCUCACCAACGUUAAGGCACAGCCCAGCCGGCCACGGGGUGCAGCCGAGCCGAAGCGGCGCCAUGGGGAGGAAAGCGGAGAAGGGAGAGAGGAGCCGAGUGAGGCAUGGAGAAACCUUGCCACGCGGAGGGUUAAAAAGCUGCUACCACAGGAACAAAGCUCAAAAUGCUCCACCAACUCAGUUUAUUGAAGAGUGACUCGAUCAUGGUUCCCUGUACCAGGGUCAAAGCUUGGGGCUGAGUCUCCCUUGGAUCUAGAGAGCAAAGCAGAGCAAAAGGGCAAGGCUGGAAGCUGGGCUUGAGCAAUUCAGGCCUAAAAGCAGGGGAUACAAUCAAAGCCUGAGGCUACUGAAUGGCCAUCUGCCUCUGGAUUUUAAAUCAGGAUUURUUGUGUUUCCUAAAAGUGCUGUCUAACUUCUUCAUGAACAACCCGUGAACGACCUGCGAGCGAGGGGCGGUGAAGARAGAAGUGCUCUUUCUCUGCUGUUACCAAGCUCUUCAGGGUGAGCAGACCUSUGAAGGGACGGUGCCAAGUGACCCGGUGAAGCAGGGGAUGAGGCAGUGCCAGCAAAUGCAAAGGGAGGCAGAUCUGGGAAAGGCGGCCCUGCCUCGGCAGCCUGCUGUGG